This 1252-nucleotide ribosomal RNA is filed under the name uncultured Acinetobacter sp. RNAcentral describes it as "bacterial SSU rRNA". It matches the Rfam family "Bacterial small subunit ribosomal RNA", at positions 77 to 1324 of the family's 1533-position model. Lineage: Bacteria; Pseudomonadati; Pseudomonadota; Gammaproteobacteria; Moraxellales; Moraxellaceae. The record is from RNAcentral.
AGCUUGCUACCUGACCUAGCGGCGGACGGGUGAGUAAUGCUUAGGAAUCUGCCUAUUAGUGGGGGACAACAUUCCGAAAGGAAUGCUAAUACCGCAUACGCCCUACGGGGGAAAGCAGGGGAUCUUCGGACCUUGCGCUAAUAGAUGAGCCUAAGUCAGAUUAGCUAGUUGGUGGGGUAAAGGCCUACCAAGGCGACGAUCUGUAGCGGGUCUGAGAGGAUGAUCCGCCACACUGGGACUGAGACACGGCCCAGACUCCUACGGGAGGCAGCAGUGGGGAAUAUUGGACAAUGGGCGAAAGCCUGAUCCAGCCAUGCCGCGUGUGUGAAGAAGGCCUUUUGGUUGUAAAGCACUUUAAGCGAGGAGGAGGCUACUGAGAUUAAUACUCUUGGAUAGUGGACGUUACUCGCAGAAUAAGCGCCGGCUAACUCUGUGCCAGCAGCCGCGGUAAUACAGAGGGUGCGAGCGUUAAUCGGAUUUACUGGGCGUAAAGCGUGCGUAGGCGGCUUUUUAAGUCGGAUGUGAAAUCCCUGAGCUUAACUUAGGAAUUGCAUCCGAUACUGGGAAGCUAGAGUAUGGGAGAGGAUGGUAGAAUUCCAGGUGUAGCGGUGAAAUGCGUAGAGAUCUGGAGGAAUACCGAUGGCGAAGGCAGCCAUCUGGCCUAAUACUGACGCUGAGGUACGAAAGCAUGGGGAGCAAACAGGAUUAGAUACCCUGGUAGUCCAUGCCGCAAACGAUGUCUACUAGCCGUUGGGGCCUUUGAGGCUUUAGUGGCGUAGCUAACGCGAUAAGUAGACCGCCUGGGGAGUACGGUCGCAAGACUAAAACUCAAAUGAAUUGACGGGGGCCCGCACAAGCGGUGGAGCAUGUGGUUUAAUUCGAUGCAACGCGAAGAACCUUACCUGGUCUUGACAUAGUAAGAACUUUCCAGAGAUGGAUUGGUGCCUUCGGGAACUUACAUACAGGUGCUGCAUGGCUGUCGUCAGCUCGUGUCGUGAGAUGUUGGGUUAAGUCCCGCAACGAGCGCAACCCUUUUCCUUAUUUGCCAGCGGGUUAAGCCGGGAACUUUAAGGAUACUGCCAGUGACAAACUGGAGGAAGGCGGGGACGACGUCAAGUCAUCAUGGCCCUUACGACCAGGGCUACACACGUGCUACAAUGGUCGGUACAAAGGGUUGCUACCUAGCGAUAGGAUGCUAAUCUCAAAAAGCCGAUCGUAGUCCGGAUUGGAGUCUGCAACUCGACUCCAUGAA